RNAcentral lists this ribosomal RNA (253 nucleotides) under uncultured bacterium. Its description in RNAcentral is "partial 16S ribosomal RNA". It matches the Rfam family "Bacterial small subunit ribosomal RNA", at positions 524 to 776 of the family's 1533-position model. The record is from RNAcentral.
UACGGAGGAUCCAAGCGUUAUCCGGAUUUAUUGGGCUUAAAGGGCGCGUAGGCGGGCAUUCAAGUCUGUGGUGAAAUCCAACAGCUCAACUGUUGAACUGCCGUGGAUACUGGGUGUCUCGAGGGAGGUAGGGGCGUGCGGAACUAUUGGUGGAGCGGUGAAAUGCGUUGAUAUCAAUAGGAACUCCGGUGGCGAAGGCGGCACGCUGGACCUCUUCUGACGCUGAGGCGCGAAAGCCAGGGGAGCAAACGGG